GACAGAGGUCCCGAGCGUUAGGCGGAAUCACUGGGCUUAAAGCGUGUGUAGGCGGAGUUCUAAGUACCUUGUGAAAUCCCACGGCUCAACCGUGGAACUGCUUGGUAUACUGGUUCUCUUGAGCCACCUAGGGGCAACCGGAACAAACGGUGGAGCGGUGAAAUGCGUAGAUAUCGUUUGGAACGCCAAUGGUGAAAACAGGUUGCUGGGGGUGUGCUGACGCUGAGACACGAAAGCCAGGGGAGCAAACAGG
Molecule: ribosomal RNA, 253 nt
Filed under: uncultured bacterium
Lineage: Bacteria
Description: partial 16S ribosomal RNA
Rfam family: Bacterial small subunit ribosomal RNA
Source: RNAcentral